Molecule: non-coding RNA, 31 nt
Filed under: Mus musculus (house mouse)
Lineage: Eukaryota; Metazoa; Chordata; Mammalia; Rodentia; Muridae
Source: RNAcentral
UAGGCUAUUUACAAUGUUAUUCGGUGCACCA